UGUACACACCGCCCGUCACACCAUGGGAGCGGGUUCUGCCAGAAGUAGUUAGCCUAACCUGCAAAGGAGGGCGAUUACCACGGCAGGGUUCGUGACUGGGGUGAAGUCGUAACAAGGUAGCCGUAUCGGAAGGUGCGGCUGGAUCACCUCCUUUCUGGAAAUGAAGCAAUUUGCGCUUCUUACGCCCAUUCUUAUCGGUUGUUGUUUAAAACAACAGCAUAGGCCCGCGUUUAGCUAGGCUAUCUGAUUGGUGCCGCCUUCAGGUUCUUCGAUGAACUCAAAGGGUCUGUAGCUCAGCUGGUUAGAGCACUGUGUUGAUAACGCAGGGGUCGUUGGUUCGAGUCCAACCAGACCCACCACAUCAGGGUCGAGAAAUUUCAGAACGCAGUCAAAGGAUUUCGUUCCUGGGGGAUUAGCUCAGCUGGGAGAGCACCUGCUUUGCAAGCAGGGGGUCGUCGGUUCGAUCCCGUCAUCCUCCACCACUUACCAGCACCGACCGGGAAAAAAAGGGUAGGGCUCAAUUUACUAAUGCAAAGUACUCUCUUUGAGAGUGCUUUGUGUUGGUUGAUUUAUUUAUUUAUAUCAAUCGAUUAUUGGCUGUUCUUUAAAAAUUCAUAGAGUUAAAUCAGCGCUGCUGGCGGAAACUGCACAUUCGUAAAGGUUUAGUGCAGACCGUGCCGCCAGUAGCAAUUUAGAGAAAUUUUGAUUGCGUCAAAAUGAACUUUUGAUUUCGAGCGGAAAUGCAUGAAAGUGCAAAUUAGAUCGAAUUGAAAGAUACGGCAUAACGCGUCAGGUGAAAGACCUGACAAUCAUUCCUUGAAAAUAACGGCGAGAAAUCAAAGUUAUAGGGUCAAGUGAAUAAGAGCACAUGGUGGAUGCCUUGGCAAUGAUAGGCGACGAAAGACGUGAUAGCCUGCGAUAAGCUUCGGGGAGCUGGCAAAUUAGCUUUGAUCCGGAGAUUUCUGAAUGGGGGAACCCACCUAGCAAUAGGUAUCUUUAACUGAAUACAUAGGUUAUUGAGGCGAACCGGGUGAACUGAAACAUCUCAGUAGCUCGAGGAAAAGACAUCAACCGAGAUUCCGAAAGUAGUGGCGAGCGAAA
Molecule: unclassified non-coding RNA, 1101 nt
Filed under: Polaromonas sp. W4N
Lineage: Bacteria; Pseudomonadati; Pseudomonadota; Betaproteobacteria; Burkholderiales; Comamonadaceae
Description: partial contains 16S ribosomal RNA, 16S-23S ribosomal RNA intergenic spacer, and 23S ribosomal RNA
Rfam family: Bacterial large subunit ribosomal RNA (bases 849-1101)
Source: RNAcentral